AAGUACCUAAGGGGGGUCAUGUGACCGUGAGUGAAACGGAUAGAUAUACGUAUGUUAAAGGUUAAAUUUGUACAGUUUAAUGCCCGAUAACUUCGUUGUUUAUUAUGAAGAGGAAUAUUCGAAGGGAAUUUUAUCUAAUGUGAAUGUUUUGAAGAAAUUUACGCGAUGCCAGAAUUAUUUAAUCGAAUUGUAAUCUUGUUUUAGGUAAGCGAAUAAGAGUGAUUGGUGAUCGCAAAUUUAUAUCAUUCGGACGAAACGAAUAAUUGGAAGAUUUAUCGUUGAGUUCCUUCGAUCGGUCGGAGGAUCGCGGAUCGUGUGAUUUGAACUGGAAGUGGCUGAAAAAUUUUCGUGGUAAUUUGGGAGCUAGACUAUGUAUUCGAUCGAAGGAGAUCAAUUGCUGAUGGUUAGUUUCUUCGUUGAGAGGGUUUCAGGUGAACGAACAAAUGCGUCGUGUCGAAUGAUGAUUUAGCUUGAUAUUUGGUGGAUAAACAAAACGAACGAGAGUUUAGAAGUAGACUGGUGUCAUCAUGAUGUUAACGAUCUAAAUAAAUUCAGACUAGUUUAAUUUAAUUCAAA
This is a long non-coding RNA of Planococcus citri (citrus mealybug), 576 nucleotides long. RefSeq lists it as uncharacterized. NCBI's taxonomy places the organism in Eukaryota, Metazoa, Arthropoda, Insecta, Hemiptera, Pseudococcidae. The transcript has 3 exons. The record is from RefSeq and is a predicted model, not a curated record.